Long non-coding RNA from Chanos chanos (milkfish), 558 nucleotides. RefSeq lists it as uncharacterized. The transcript has 5 exons. NCBI's taxonomy places the organism in Eukaryota, Metazoa, Chordata, Actinopteri, Gonorynchiformes, Chanidae. The record is from RefSeq and is a predicted model, not a curated record.
ACGAGGGGGAUAGGGUCAGUAGGGACCUUGGGUAAAGAACGAAAAUGUUGCCCCAUAUUUCCUUAAUGUGCCUCACAAUUCUAGUGUUAUGGCACAUAAAAUAGUGGGGGCUUUAACCCAUUAAAAUGUCCGGGCUUUUUCUACAGAUCUAGCAAACCAGCUGGGCAACAUCGAUAAUAGUGUAGAAGAACUGGGGUCAUAGAUUCUGCCUUCAUGACUGCCUGAAGCACGUGCGCGAACGCAUGGCAAGCCAUGUGCUCGUGAGCUUCCUACAAUCAGCGAGUAAAGCGAGAGGUGACUGGGACGCAAGGCCGCACUUUUGAACAGUCUGGACGAGAUGAAGUGACUAUCAUUGGACUAAAAGAGAAAGCUGCCAUAGUAGUGUUGAUGGCCAGAUGAACUCAAGAUUCUGUGACCAGUUUGUUCAGUGACCAAGUACCAUGGAGGAUGAAAACAUGACGCAGCAAGGCAUGCAACGAGUCAUCAAACAGACUGGUGAAUGCAUCCCAUUGAUCUGUAGACCUUACUAGCCUGUUCAACAUUUAAAUAAACUUUUAU